ACAGCUAUACAUGCAGUCGACGAACUCUGGUAUUGAUUGGUGCUUGCAUCAUGAUUUACAUUUGAGUGAGUGGCGAACUGGUGAGUAACACGUGGGAAACCUGCCCAGAAGCGGGGGAUAACACCUGGAAACAGAUGCUAAUACCGCAUAACAACUUGGACCGCAUGGUCCGAGUUUGAAAGAUGGCUUCGGCUAUCACUUUUGGAUGGUCCCGCGGCGUAUUAGCUAGAUGGUGGGGUAACGGCUCACCAUGGCAAUGAUACGUAGCCGACCUGAGAGGGUAAUCGGCCACAUUGGGACUGAGACACGGCCCAAACUCCUACGGGAGGCAGCAGUAGGGAAUCUUCCACAAUGGACGAAAGUCUGAUGGAGCAACGCCGCGUGAGUGAAGAAGGGUUUCGGCUCGUAAAACUCUGUUGUUAAAGAAGAACAUAUCUGAGAGUAACUGUUCAGGUAUUGACGGUAUUUAACCAGAAAGCCACGGCUAACUACGUGCCAGCAGCCGCGGUAAUACGUAGGUGGCAAGCGUUGUCCGGAUUUAUUGGGCGUAAAGCGAGCGCAGGCGGUUUUUUAAGUCUGAUGUGAAAGCCUUCGGCUCAACCGAAGAAGUGCAUCGGAAACUGGGAAACUUGAGUGCAGAAGAGGACAGUGGAACUCCAUGUGUAGCGGUGAAAUGCGUAGAUAUAUGGAAGAACACCAGUGGCGAAGGCGGCUGUCUGGUCUGUAACUGACGCUGAGGCUCGAAAGUAUGGGUAGCAAACAGGAUUAGAUACCCUGGUAGUCCAUACCGUAAACGAUGAAUGCUAAGUGUUGGAGGGUUUCCGCCCUUCAGUGCUGCAGCUAACGCAUUAAGCAUUCCGCCUGGGGAGUACGGCCGCAAGGCUGAAACUCAAAGGAAUUGACGGGGGCCCGCACAAGCGGUGGAGCAUGUGGUUUAAUUCGAAGCUACGCGAAGAACCUUACCAGGUCUUGACAUACUAUGCAAAUCUAAGAGAUUAGACGUUCCCUUCGGGGACAUGGAUACAGGUGGUGCAUGGUUGUCGUCAGCUCGUGUCGUGAGAUGUUGGGUUAAGUCCCGCAACGAGCGCAACCCUUAUUAUCAGUUGCCAGCAUUAAGUUGGGCACUCUGGUGAGACUGCCGGUGACAAACCGGAGGAAGGUGGGGAUGACGUCAAAUCAUCAUGCCCCUUAUGACCUGGGCUACACACGUGCUACAAUGGAUGGUACAACGAGUUGCGAACUCGCGAGAGUAAGCUAAUCUCUUAAAGCCAUUCUCAGUUCGGAUUGUAGGCUGCAACUCGCCUACAUGAAGUCGGAAUCGCUAGUAAUCGCGGAUCAGCAUGCCGCGGUGAAUACGUUCCCGGGCCUUGUACACACCGCCCGUCACACCAUGAGAGUUUGUAACACCCAAAGUCGGUGGGGUAACCUUUUAGGAACCAGCCGCCUAAGGUGGAAGU
Molecule: ribosomal RNA, 1457 nt
Filed under: bacterium
Lineage: Bacteria
Description: bacterial SSU rRNA
Rfam family: Bacterial small subunit ribosomal RNA
Source: RNAcentral